AAGUCGUAACAAGGUUUCCGUAGGUGAACCUGCGGAAGGAUCAUUACCAAUAAAAUAAAAUUCUAACCCAUGUGCACUGUGAACUGUCUUGGUUUUUGGGGUGGACUUUAGUGGUUCACCCCAACCAUUUUGUUUAACUACUUUGUUAUAUAUAUCUUGGCAUCGUAAUUGUCUUUUAAAAUACAAAUGACAACUUUUAACGGUGGAUCUCUUGGCUCGU
Molecule: unclassified non-coding RNA, 220 nt
Filed under: fungal sp.
Lineage: Eukaryota; Fungi
Description: partial internal transcribed spacer region
Rfam family: Eukaryotic small subunit ribosomal RNA (bases 1-46)
Source: RNAcentral